Tribolium castaneum (red flour beetle) is the source of this 2669-nucleotide long non-coding RNA. RefSeq lists it as uncharacterized. NCBI's taxonomy places the organism in Eukaryota, Metazoa, Arthropoda, Insecta, Coleoptera, Tenebrionidae. The record is from RefSeq and is a predicted model, not a curated record. The transcript is spliced from 2 exons.
UAAAAGUAAACAUGAGUUUUGAUGUCACGGCGACCUGUAAAUUCUUGUGAAAGAAUUUCGUAGUCGAAUACCCUUCGGAGCCGGUCUCCUGCUGUUAGUGAAAAUGAUGGUCAAGGUGGUGGACGGUAAGUAUCAUUAACUCUUAAUCCUUUGCUGUUAGUGUCAGAUGUACCUGUUCAGAAGACAGUACACAACCUUCAGUGGCAGUGGAAGAAAUGUGGGUUUUUGUGUUGGUUUUUGCCGUUUUCAAAGAGGUAGGAAUAUAUCUUGUGAAGCGCUGUGUGAUUAAGCUGUUACAAGUUUGAUUAAUAAAUUGAUUUUUAGUUGGGCACCAUGUCAUUUAAUCCAGCCAAGAUGGGUAAGUUUAGCAAGCGUUAAUCAGUGUAAACUAAUCUCAGAGAAUAUAACAGAAUAACACAAAGUUUUUUAAUGAAGACACUCUAAUUUUUUCUCUCAUUCGUCUUCUAAUUGUGUAAUUUUAAACUGGUUUUAAUGAGGAAAGAAGUAGUAAAUUCGUAGUUUUAGAUGAUCGCAAGGGUUUGACCUUUCCGGAUUCGAGUGAAAUUGGGGGUGAUUUUUUGUACGAGACGGUGGUCCCCAACUGCCAAAAUCACACGUACUGUGAACACUUGGACCGCUACCCUAAAGAACUAUUUUCCAAAAUAUUAAAAAGCCGCGAAAAGGAGUUUUCUCGGUACUUUCAGAGUAUGGCAGUAAUAGAGCCCAUUAUGAGUAGGAACCAAGACACUUCCUGUAUUUGUGCAUCACGCAAAAGUAUUAUAUACCCAAAAGCGGCAUAUAAUAUAAAAAAUAAUCUGAAAUUUAUCUACAACUUCGAUGGAUACAAACAAGGAGUGUCCGUAGAGGUCUGCGUGAUAAAAAAUCAAAUGUGCAAAUUUUACGAGAAGGUGAGAAAGUUAAAAACAAGGUGUCGACAAAAGUUCGUCGAAAAAUUGUUACUGACGGCUGAUGAAAAUGGAAGACCGUACGCUGAUAGGUACAGAUUUCCAUCAGCUUGUGUCUGUUCGUACAAGAUAAUUAGCUCUAAUGUGUUUUUUACUUAAAGUUGGGGUAAGUUUCGUAAUUUAAAUUUUGUUUCACCUACUAACUCAUUUUUAGUAACUGCAGAGUAAUACAUUUACUUUGUGGAGAAGUGAACUGAGACGAUUUUAUCCCUGUAAUUAUCGCAGUAUUAGGUGGAAGAAAACGAUAGGUAUUAAUCACAAUUUAGUGAAUCCCAGCUAAUAAUUCUUGAAAAGUAAUUACGUGUGAUUUGUGUGAUUAUGACGAAUUGUAGGUACGUAAGUUAUUGUGGACUAAUGUGUGUUUUUAUAAUUAAAUUUUAGCAAUUUUAGUCCGGACGUUAGUCAAGUUUUUAUUUAUUGUUACAAGCUUUACCAGUGUCUGAAACUGUUUAAGCAUUUUAUGAAAUAUUAUGUUAGAACUAGCUUAAGCAUUAAAAAUGUACAAACAGACGAAAAGUAUUGUAGUAUUGUAAAUUUAUGUGUACUAUAAACUGUAAUUAAUAAAGCUGUUGAUGUUCGAAUGAACUUAUUUUAUGUGGGAAAAUAAAUAAAAUUUGUUGCAAACAGGAAAGCUGUUAAUAACUGAAACUUAAAUGAAUUUCCUUCAGUUUUGUUUGAGGAACGGUGUGGUCUGAUGUGCGUCCGUGAUGCUGAGUUAUUUGUAUUUGAAAUAAGAAGCCUCUAAUUUAAUAGUAAUAGGUGAGUUGGUUAAAUUCAACCAAAACGUAGUGUGGGCUCUUCUUGCACCUUUAUUGUAACAAAAAAAUUCCACAUAUCUCACUCUUAAUACUUUAAUUAAUUGCUGUUGUGUUUUGAGGGGGGAUUUAUUGGUUUUAUGAAUUUAUUUAAAUAGUUUAAAAAAAAUUUUGGCUUGUGGGGCUAAGGAUAUUCUAAUAGAAUUUUAAAUAAUUCAUAUUUGUUUAGUUUUUUCUGGAUUGUUUUUGUUUUGAAGAACGGUUUUUUUUCUUUUUAGAAUUUAUUUUAUUGUUGAGGGAUUAACUUGAUUUUUGGAAUUUAAUUUGUUAAUAAUUAACUCUAGAAGAAUUGUUAUGACUUUUUUAUUUGACUGAAUAUCAUUUCUUUUUAUGAGAUUUGUAUUAUUUAUUUCUAGUAUAGUAAUUUUUUAUAGGCGUGAAUAUAUGGUAGGGGCUCCAAAAUGUAAUUUUAACAUUCGGUCCUUUCGUACUAGAACAUUAACAUAAAUAAAAGAUAGAAACCAACCUGGCUCACGCCGGUUUAAACUCAGAUCAUGUAAAAUUUUAAAGGUCGAACAGACCCAAUAUUCCAGCUUCUACACCGAAAAUUAAUUUUAAUCCAACAUCGAGGUCGCAAACUUUUCUGUAAAUAUGAACUUUCAAAAAAAAUUACGCUGUUAUCCCUAAGGUAAUUUAAUCUUUUAAUCCAAAAUUCAGGAUCAACAAUUCACUAAUCAGUGUAAAAACAAAAAAAAAGUUAAAUCAAUUUUCCUAUCACCCCAACAAAAUUCUUUAAACUAUCAAGGAAAAGAAAACUUCAAUACCAAUAAAAACUUAAAAAAUAAAACUCUAUAGGGUCUUCUCGUCUUUUUAAAAAAUUUAAGCAUUCUCACUUAAAAUUCAAAUUAUAAUACAAUUAAUUAGAGACAGUUAAUUUCUCAUUAAACCA